RNAcentral lists this ribosomal RNA (1259 nucleotides) under uncultured bacterium. Its description in RNAcentral is "partial 16S ribosomal RNA". It matches the Rfam family "Bacterial small subunit ribosomal RNA", at positions 137 to 1384 of the family's 1533-position model. The record is from RNAcentral.
UGGAGAAUAACCGUUGGAAACGACGGCUAAUGCUGCAUAAUCCCUCUUUGCAUAAGUAGAGAGGAGAAAGGGGGCUUCGGCUCCUGCUACGAGAUGAGCCUGCGUCCGAUUAGCUUGUUGGUGGGGUAACGGCCCACCAAGGCGACGAUUGGUAGCUGGUCUGAGAGGAUGAUCAGCCACACUGGAACUGACACACGGUCCAGACUCCUACGGGAGGCAGCAGUGGGGAAUAUUGCGCAAUGGGGGAAACCCUGACGCAGCGACGCCGCGUGUACGAUGAAGGCCUUCGGGUUGUAAAGUACUGUCAGCAGGGAAUAAGAUGAACUGGUUAAUACCCAGUUUGUUUGAAGGUACCUGCAGAGGAAGCACCGGCUAAAUCUGUGCCAGCAGCCGCGGUAAUACGGGGGAUGCAAGCGUUAUCCGGAAUUAUUGGGCGUAAAGCGUCCGUAGGCGGCUAGGCAAGUUUGUUGUUAAAGCGUGCAGCUCAACUGCAUAUGGGCAAUGAAAACUGCUUGGCUAGAGUGUGGUAGGGGUAGAGGGAAUUCCCGGUGUAGCGGUGAAAUGCGUAGAUAUCGGGAAGAACACCAGUGGCGAAAGCGCUCUGCUGGGCCACAACUGACGCUGAUGGACGAAAGCUAGGGGAGCGAAAGGGAUUAGAUACCCCUGUAGUCCUAGCCGUAAACGAUGAACACUAGGUGUUGUCUGUAUCGACCCGGACAGUGCCGUAGCUAACGCGUUAAGUGUUCCGCCUGGGGAGUACGCACGCAAGUGUGAAACUCAAAGGAAUUGACGGGGGCCCGCACAAGCGGUGGAGUAUGUGGUUUAAUUCGAUGCAACGCGAAGAACCUUACCAGGACUUGACAUCCCAAGAACAUAUCAGAAAUGAAUUGGUGCCUUCGGGAACUUGGAGACAGGUGGUGCAUGGCUGUCGUCAGCUCGUGUCGUGAGAUGUUGGGUUAAGUCCCGCAACGAGCGCAACCCACGUUUUUAGUUGCCAUCAUUAAGUUGGGCACUCUAGAGAGACUGCCGGUGACAAACCGGAGGAAGGUGUGGACGACGUCAAGUCAUCAUGCCCCUUACGUUCUGGGCUACACACGUACUACAAUGCUUCGGACAGAGGGCAGCGAACUAGCGAUAGUAAGCUAAUCCCAUAAACCGAGGCUCAGUUCAGAUUGCAGGCUGCAACUCGCCUGCAUGAAGGAGGAAUCGCUAGUAAUCGCAGGUCAGCAUACUGCGGUGAAUACGUUCCCGGGCCUUGU